This 929-nucleotide ribosomal RNA is filed under the name uncultured bacterium. RNAcentral describes it as "bacterial SSU rRNA". It matches the Rfam family "Bacterial small subunit ribosomal RNA", at positions 8 to 916 of the family's 1533-position model. The record is from RNAcentral.
AGAGUUUGAUCCUGGCUCAGAACGAACGCUGGCGGCGUGCCUAACACAUGCAAGUCGAACGGAAGUAAGAAGCUUGCUUUUUACUUUAGUGGCGCACGGGUGAGUAACGCGUAGAUAAUCUGCCUUGGAAUCUGGGAUAACAUUUCGAAAGGGGUGCUAAUACCGGACAAGCCCAGGGAACGAGAGUUUUUGCGGGAAAAGGGGGCCUCUGAACAUGCUCCUGUUUCAAGAUGAGUCUGCGUACCAUUAGCUAGUUGGUGGUGUAAUGGACCACCAAGGCUACGAUGGUUAGCUGGUCUGAGAGGAUGAUCAGCCACACUGGAACUGAGACACGGUCCAGACUCCUACGGGAGGCAGCAGUGGGGAAUUUUGCGCAAUGGGGGAAACCCUGACGCAGCAACGCCGCGUGAGUGAUGAAGGCUUUCGGGUCGUAAAGCUCUUCUAGAGGGAAGAAGUGUAUAGAGGUUAAUACCCUUUAUGCUUGACGGUACCUCUGAAGGAAGCACCGGCUAACUCCGUGCCAGCAGCCGCGGUAAUACGGAGGGUGCAAGCGUUGUUCGGAUUUAUUGGGCGUAAAGCGCGUGUAGGCGGUUUGUUAAGUCUGAUGUGAAAGCCCUGGGCUCAACCUGGGAAGUGCAUUGGAAACUGGCAGACUUGAAUACGGGAGAGGGUAGUGGAAUUCCUGGUGUAGGAGUGAAAUCCGUAGAUAUCAGGAGGAACACCGGUGGCGAAGGCGGCUGCCUGGACCGAUAUUGACGCUGAGACGCGAAAGCGUGGGUAGCAAACAGGAUUAGAUACCCUGGUAGUCCACGCCGUAAACGAUGAGUACUAGGUGUUGCGGGUAUUGCCCCUGCAGUGCCGCAGCUAACGCAUUAAGUACUCCGCCUGGGAAGUACGGUCGCAAGACUAAAACUCAAAGGAAUUGACGG